RNAcentral lists this ribosomal RNA (324 nucleotides) under uncultured Euglypha. Its description in RNAcentral is "SSU rRNA". The stretch from base 112 to 324 matches the Rfam family "Eukaryotic small subunit ribosomal RNA", at positions 741 to 955 of the family's 1831-position model. Lineage: Eukaryota; Cercozoa; Imbricatea; Euglyphida; Euglyphidae. The record is from RNAcentral.
GAUUUCUGAUGAACCGGAGUGGCCCGUUUCCUUUCAGGGAAUGAGUGCCGCUUUGAGUUUGUCAUCCUUCCAGAGAGCUGCGUCUACCGUUCACUCGGCCGGACGUAUGCGAUCUGGAUCUAUUACUUUGAAAAAAUUAGAGUGUUUAAAGCAGGCUUACGCUGUGAAUACAUUAGCAUGGAAUAAUAAUCUAGGACUUUGGUUCUAUUUUGUUGGUUUCUAGGAUCGAAGUAAUGAUUGAUAGGGAUAGUUGGGGGUGCUAGUAUUCCGCGGCCAGAGGUGAAAUUCUUGGAUUCGGUCAAGACUAACUUAUGCGAAAGCAUU